Molecule: long non-coding RNA, 874 nt
Organism: Lepidothrix coronata (blue-crowned manakin)
Lineage: Eukaryota; Metazoa; Chordata; Aves; Passeriformes; Pipridae
Exons: 6
Source: RefSeq, a predicted model, not a curated record
GAUGUCACUAAAACAUCGUUCCCCACGGCCAGACCUGGCUGGCCCUGGGUCUCUGUAUUCAGUGGCACACACGGAUAAUGAGGUAUCUCUGGGGGAAGCUCCUGCUUUGAAUAGGUCCAACAGUUAUUUAUCCAUUUAUCCAUUAUUUAUCCUGCAUUUUGAGCAGUGAAGACCAAGCCUUCUGCAAUAUGGCCGCUUCUGUAUUGGUUCAUCCAUUUCCAGGGGAAGUGAAACACAAAAUGCCACUCUUUCUGCAGGAGAUCCCUGGUGUGGCUCAGACAGUGAAGAUGCAGAACAACUAGGUGGAGAUCACACAUCCUCCCCAACUCCUUCAAUUCAAAAGGUACAGGGAGAGGUGAGGAACAGAACACAGGAAGGGCAGGAACAAAUGAGCCAAAGAACUACACAAAGAAGUACGAAUGAGACACCAAGCCAUUAUGAGUUGCUCCCUUGGUUUAUGACAGAAUGUGAUGAUUUAGGCCUUUAUCUUGAUUUCCUUGUUAUUUUGUCCUUCUGUCGGCUAUGACACAUGAACCUGGACAGCAUUUAGGAUGAGCUCUGAGACACAGUUCAGGGCUGCUGCGGUCACUGAAGCUUUAAUUGAAAAUUGCUGAAACAUGGACACCUAGUGGAGACACCCCACUCUGACAGUUCUCUUUCCAGUUGAAAUACAAUUUAAAAAUGGACUUUUACUGAUAGUCUUCCCCGAACCUGGAGGUUUGUCCUUGCUUCUCACUGCCCUGCACAGUGCUCAGCCACAUGAGGUGAAGGCGAGAGUCAGAAUUUGACAAAACAGAAGCUGUACAUCAUUUAACAACUCACCCAGGGGAUUGAUGAAGCAGAAAAACUAAUGACCUACAAAAGAACAAAUGUU